This is an RNA transcript of Triticum aestivum (bread wheat), 2914 nucleotides long. RefSeq lists it as uncharacterized. The transcript is spliced from 5 exons. The record is from RefSeq and is a predicted model, not a curated record. NCBI's taxonomy places the organism in Eukaryota, Viridiplantae, Streptophyta, Magnoliopsida, Poales, Poaceae.
UGGAAAGCCCAUUGGCCCACCAAUCCCCACAGCCGCCAGCCCGCACCUCUCCCUCCUCCGGUCCUCCCUUUCUCAGCCGCCACCCCCACGAACCCUAGUCGCGCCCUCCUGCAUCUGUCCACCUCCCCCUUCCUGAUCCGCCCCAAGCCCCUCCUCGUCUCCUUGUCACACCCACCUCAUCACCAGCGACGGCCGCGCCUAAACGCAUGAGCUAGCCAAGGAAAAGCGGGGUGGCGCGACGCCCUGGUCAUCGGCCGGCCAGGAGCCUGCGUAGAGGCGGUGGCGGAGACGACCCUAGAUGGUGCCCAGGCCAAGAUCUGGACAGGGCGCCUCAACCUCGCCUUCCUCUUCCACCUACUCACUGAUAGAGAGACAGCAGCAGCGGUGGGAGGAGCCUGGGCAUAGAGGAGAGAAGUGGACGAGGGGGGUGCAAAGCCAGGAGAUGUGGGUCGCCGGAUGAGCACAUCCACAUAGGGCUUGAUCCCGCCGCUGCCAGAGCAGAGUGGAGCACCACACGGGGCCCGAUGGGGUGGCCGGGAGCGCGUGACAUCCGGCUCCCAAGCAGCUCCCAAGCAGGGAAUGCAGCGGUGCUGGCCUCUCCUCUCCGCGCGCCUUUGUCCUGCGUCGUCACUACCGCCAUGGCCUUGCUCGCCAUUGACCUCCCCAAGUGCUUCUCUCCACAAAUGGUGCCGUCAUGUCCAUAUCAAAUCAAGCGCCAGGAAAGUACAACACGUGCACAUAACUUGUUUGAGGAAAUUCCAUCUGGAAGCAAUAUUUGAUCAUGACUUGUGUUCUUGAUGCUUCAUCUGCGGCUAGCUAACUACAACAACACAUAUGUAAAGGGAAACCAUCGUAAGAAACACAGGAAGACAUUGCAUUGUUGAAGGAGUCCAUUGGGGACUGGAGUCGAUGGCCUACGACAUGGGUAGACACGUGUGCUUCAUGAUUAUUGUUGAUUAACUCAGAGUAUAUGAAUGCUUUGAAGGAAUGAUAUGCAUAAUUCAGACUAAAUCUUGCUGGUGAUAGUGAGGAGUUUAUUUGGCUGUAGCACUUUGAUUCUUUCUCACUGUCAAAGUUUGUUCAGUACUUCUCUCAUAUUUUUUUGUUUGUUCCAGUGUGCUAUGUGCAUCUUGCUAGUGGCGGGAGUGGCAGCCAAGAUGAUGGGCGCGGGAGCAGCGCACGUGUGAGCAAUGACAAGUGUGUCUGCUGCCAACCUGUGAAGGUUGGCUCUGCCAAACCCUGCUCUUCCUCUCCGAGGCUCACAUUGCGCGAUGGCCAUUACCAUCUACGACUUCACAAUAGUGGUGAUAUGUCCAUAUUCAUGGAAUUUUGGGUGAUUGUAAGGUGUUGUGUUGCCAUUAAAUUAGAUUGAUUUAUUAAAACUGAAGGACGGUCGAUUUGCUGAUCAUGCACUGGUAGAAAAAUUUCAAAAACUGUAACAUACUUUGUAUGGUAUUAGAUUUACUUCUUCAGGAUGUUUUUGUGCCCUUCAUGGGUGAAUCUGUAACUGAUGGAACCCUUUCCAAUUUCUUAAUGCUACUGUACAAAUGUAGUCGAGUCAAGCUUUAGGUGUUUCAGAAUGAACACACAAGUUGCUUUCUUAGAUUCAUUUCAACCAAAAGAAUGGGUAAUAUGUUUUUCUGAAAACAUGGAUAUACUUCGUAUAAUUGGAUCUGUAGUUAUUGACAUAGUAUUUAUUUUAUACUAAUGAUUCAUACAGCUUGGAGGGGAAUUAGUAUCUAACAUCUUGGUAAAUGUAUGCUAGGGAUUUUGUGCUCAUGUGAAGUCAAUGCAAAGCCCGUAUUUUUUAUGAUGCACUAUGAUAAUACAAAGCAUUUCUGAAAAUUGUGUAAUUGUAGAUGCGGCAUCAUUGUAGAGAGCAGCCCCAGGCCGUAUUAAUUCAGAAGAAUAAAUUCUUCUACUUCUGUUUAUUGUGCUUUUAAAUAGUGCUCCCGUACAGGACGGCUGUGAGAAUGGGCUCUCUGAGGCUGCUGUAUUAUGUUCCUUGCUUUCUCCAUCUUCACCCCUUACGUCCUUGAUGAAAUAAUUUAUAUAUGCAAAUUAAGUGCCACACAUCAGUUGCAAGUGGUCAUGCAUCCUGCUUGUCAAUUUCUCCCAGAGAGCGAAUGUUUAAAAGUCCAGUGCUUAUGGCAGUUAUUAAUUAGUCAAGAUUCAGUUCUGAUGUAGAAUAUUCAGUUUAGUUGGUCUGCAUUUGUCCCAGAGAGUGAGUGUUCACAGGUGCAGUGCUUAUGUAAGUUCUUAUUUAGUCUAGAUUCUGUUCUGGUGCAGAAUGUCUAAUAACAUGCCACUUAAGUUGUUUCUACAAACUAAAAUUUGAAAUUUAGAAUUGAUCUAGCCAUAGUUUUUGAAGCAAGAAUACCAUGACUUCUUUAUAUCUUUUUUGAGCUGGAACACUCGGCUAUCGUGAUUUUUUUUGUAGACCUUCUUGACUGGACAAAAUGUAUGUUGUGGAGAAAUUAUAAAUCGCCUUACAAAUUGCUGAGAUGUUGUGCAAAAACUGAACAGGGAAGAGACCCAUGGUCCAGAGUAGUACAUGCAAAUGAAGGAUACCAGACUGGCCCAUGGAGCAUGAGAUCCCCACCUUACUUGUAUGGCCUCAGGCUGAGGAGACCCUUCUAAUUAAGACAACACCAUUAUUGUAAAUAGAGAUGCUAAUGAGAAUAACAAAGAUGCUAAGAGGCAACCUUUUGGGGAUAUAACAACAACAUGGCUUAUGAGUCCGAACAGAGCUUGAGUGGUGUCUUUUGGUUCUUGAAGCCCUGCACUUUCCUGGUGGAGUAGUGAUGACCCACAAGUAUAGGGGAUCUAUCGUAGUCCUUUCGAUAAGUAAGAGUGUCGAACCCAACUAGGAGCAGAAGGAAAUGACAAGCGGUUUUCAGUAAGGUAUUCUCUG